This 101-nucleotide transfer RNA is filed under the name Enhygromyxa salina. Its description in RNAcentral is "tRNA-His". Lineage: Bacteria; Pseudomonadati; Myxococcota; Nannocystales; Nannocystaceae. The record is from RNAcentral.
GUCAGCCAUGACGAGCUGGUCCGCGUGGUUCGUCUGUGGCACGAACACGAGUCCCGAGCCGACCCAGACCAGUCGGUUCCAGGAGCCGACCAGCCGAUCCC